Molecule: long non-coding RNA, 1678 nt
Organism: Biomphalaria glabrata
Lineage: Eukaryota; Metazoa; Mollusca; Gastropoda; Planorbidae
Exons: 2
Source: RefSeq, a predicted model, not a curated record
UCUAGACGAUAUCUAGACGUGCUGAUAUUGAAAUCGUGGAAACAGCUACAUCCACUUAAUUUCGUUGAAAACCGUUAAUCGUCUAACGGAACGUCGUCGGAGGUGACCUUGGUUUCACCUAGUCUACAUUGGACAGUUUGGUCUAUUGAAGCAGAGUACAACAGCAAACUUCGUCGUACUACCAGAGUAGCAGCAGAAGCAGUGAACUAUUUUUAGAGAACCGUUAUUCGUCAGCCCAGAUCAAGUCAUCGUCAAGAAAGUCGUUAUUCGUCAGCCCAGAUCAAGUCAUCGUCAAGAAACUCGUUAUUCGUCAGUCGUCCAGAUCAAGUUGCCGUCAAGAGACUGUUAUUUGUCAGUAGUCGUCUACACAAGUCAAGUCAUCGCCAGAAGAACCGUUAACCUAUUCGUCAGUAACUGUGUACACAAAGUCGUCGGAACUACACAUACGGUCAUCAACAGUCGUCGAAGGAACUGAAACAUUUUGCUGUGGCAUAUCAGGACAUCUGUGGCAUUACGUGGGAUACUGGUAGCACCGGAGAACAGAGUCAGAACUGGAAGAGAGGCAGUGGAAUUUGUUGUGAUCUAGCAUAUUCGGGAGUCCGAACAAAGGGAUCUUUCUUAUCAAAAGCUAAGUGCCAUUUUUCUUAUUAGUGUAUGUUUAGAUUGCCCUUAGAAAUAGAUUUUGUCUAAAUUUGGUAUGUUAGCCUGAGUAAAUUCAGGUGGUGCUGAAGCCUUAAACCAGUUCGGGGUAAAGACAUAAUUUAGAUGAAAAGCUAUAUUAUACGUUUAGAGUUGUAAUUUGUUUUGUUUGUGUAAACGUCAUAUCCGUUGUUGCCUAGUUACUUCGUGACGUUAUCAUUGUGUGCCAUAUUGUCAUAUCCCAACCCAUAGCGAUAGUCUCAUUUUAAUUAUUUCAUUUGUUUAUAUUAUUUUAAAUUAUUUAUUUUUAUUAAUUUAAUUAGAUCUGUAUUUUUUUUCACUUAAUGAUAGAAAGUGCGGGUAGGAUUCUUUUACUGUGAAUCAGACUAAAAUAAUUUUAGUUUGAGCGGUUAAAAUCAAAUAUGAUUUUACCAUGAGAAUAAUGCCGAAACUGGCUAUGUAGUCAAACACUGUCGUCUGGCUAAAUUUGGAUCUACAAAUUUUGUACAUCUCUUUGGUACAAUUUAAUUAUCUAGACUCUAAUUUGAAAUAUUAUUAAUUGAAAAAUGAAUGAAGAUUACUGCCAGUGAAGAACGCUUGUGACGUAUGACGUGUCCAUAAGAUGCCACAUUUUCUUUCAUGAUGAACUGUGUACUAAUGAAGAUGACUUUGGAAUGUUAUGAACAUUGACAUGUAUAUGAGGAACUGUCAAGUCAAGAUGAAGAGAUCAAGAUUUUAUGUUUGUGGUCUUCCCCUUAAAUUGAAAAUGCCCUUGUAAGACUUGACAGUAGUGGAAAAAUAUUGACAUAUUUUUUUUUCAAGGGGGGGAGGAAUCUGUUAGACACCUUAUUUAUAUAGGUUAGUUAUUUAGCGACGCACCAUAGAAGACGCAUAUUGAACGGGACUAGUGACGUUUGGGAUAUGUUGGGUUAGAGACCGGAAAAUCAGUUAGCGAUAGAACACUCCAGGGUGACGACGUGUUUAGUGACAGAGACUUCUACUGUGGCCUUUUAUCAGAAUAAAUCUAUGUGAACUUGUU